RNAcentral lists this ribosomal RNA (1322 nucleotides) under Gasterophilus intestinalis. RNAcentral describes it as "large subunit ribosomal RNA". The record is from RNAcentral. Lineage: Eukaryota; Metazoa; Arthropoda; Insecta; Diptera; Oestridae.
CAAUUAAUUACAUUCACAGUAAAAAUAUUUAUAUAUCAAAUAUUUGGUCCUUUCGUACUAAAAUAUUCCAAUUACUUAAAGAUAGAAACCAACCUGGCUUACGCCGGUUUGAACUCAGAUCAUGUAAGAAUUUAAAAGUCGAACAGACUUAAAAUUCAAGCUGCUACACCUAAACCUAUCUCUUAAUCCAACAUCGAGGUCGCAAUCCCUUUUAUCGAUAAGAACUCUCCAAAAAAAUUACGCUGUUAUCCCUAAAGUAACUUAAUUUUAUAAUCGUUAUUAACGGAUCAAACAACCAUAAAUAAAUGUCACCAAAAAUUAAAAGUUCAUUAAAUUUUAAUAUCACCCCAAUAAAAUAAUAUCAAUUACUAUAGCACAAAAUAUCUAAAUAACCAUAACAAACUAAUUAUAAAGAUUUAUAGGGUCUUCUCGUCUUUAAAACCCAUUUCAGCUUUUUUACUGAAAAAUAAAAUUCUAAUUCAAAUUCAAAUGAAACAGUUAGUAUCUCGUCCAACCAUUCAUUCCAGCCUUCAAUUAAAAGACUAAUGAUUAUGCUACCUUUGCACAGUUAAAAUACUGCGGCCAUUCAACUUUCAGUGGGCAGGCUAGACCUUAUAUUUAUAAUCAAAAGGACAUGUUUUUGUUAAACAGGCGGAUACUUAUUUUGCCGAAUUCCUUACAAAAACUUAUCAUAAAUAAUUAUUAACACAAACUUAUAUACUAAUUUUAUCAUUAUUACCUAAUAAACACCAUUAAUAUAAAUAUUUUAAUAAAAACUUAAAAUUAAAUUAAAUAUUUUAACAAAAAGAAUAAAUUAUAACAUCCUCUUAAAUGAUAGCUAAUUCUAAGCCUACAUUUCCAACAAAAUUUAACCACUUUUAAUAAUCUAUUUCACAGCUUAUCCCGCAAAACAUUAGACCAAAUCAAUUAUCAAAUUAACAAAACAACUUAAUAAUAAAAAUAGCCCUAAAUUCAACUUAUUUCUUAAAAAACUAGAUAUCUCUAAAAACGAAUAACAUCUCAUUUCUAACACCCUGUUCUAAAUAACUUUACCACGUUAACUUAAACAAAAUAUUAACUCUUCCAGAAUCGAGAAAAUUAAAUUCAUAAACUUUAUUUAAUAAACCCUGAUACACAAGGUACAAAAAACAAAACCUUCUUUUAUAAUAAAAAUUUUUCAAAAUAUUUCAAUAUUCCCUCACGAUACUAAUCCACUUUAAUUAAUACUAUUUUUUCUUUAAAAAAUACUAAAACUACCCAACUCAAUAAUUAUUUUUAAUAAUAUAUAAUAGACAAAAAAAAUUCUAAUAAAUAAAAUCUAA